Molecule: RNA transcript, 2079 nt
Organism: Zea mays
Lineage: Eukaryota; Viridiplantae; Streptophyta; Magnoliopsida; Poales; Poaceae
Gene name: DNA polymerase lambda (POLL)
Exons: 14
Source: RefSeq, marked validated
CGCAGCGGAACAGGAGAAACUCAAAACCCCAACGACGCCGUGAGCCCGGCCCGCAAGGGGACAAAGCGGGAGGGGUUUCUGAUGGCGCCGAAGCGGAAGCCUGCCGCGGCGGCGAAGUCGGACCCUGAUGGCAUAUUCCGCGGCGUCUCCGCUUUCAUCGUUCCCAACGGCGUCCAGGCUCGCCGCCUCGUGGUGUGGAAGCAGAGGCUGGUGCAGAUGGGGGGCCGAGUCGUGGAGAAGCCCACGAAGGGCGAGCUGGCGGGGGUCAACCACGUGUUGGCCAUGGACGCCAAGGCGCUACUCCGGGAGCUUGACGCCGCUUGGCUCCACCGCUUCCGCGGGAGUGUGGUGUCCUUCGAAUGGAUUGAGGAGUGCCUCAAGUCUGGGGAGAGGCUGCCCAUCCACAACUUUGCAAUCAAUUACGAAAAGGAAUUUAAGCCAAAGAAUGCGGUUUGCACUGGAAAUCUAGUUGCGUCACGGCCCUCUAAAAGGACCAAAAUGUCGUCUGAGUAUCCUGGGGACCACCAGAUAAUUAGUGGAGGGGAUAGGGAGAAGGAACUAGCAGCUGGAGGGCCUCCAGGUGCAAGUGCACAUGUGGUUGAAGGAUCAAGUGCGGGGAAGCAGCCUAACCAGUAUGCAAGUAGCCAAAGUAGCUCAGCAGAUUCCAAGGACACCAUAGGUUCGCAUGGUACAUUUGGCAUAGAGGAAGCCUCUUCUGGAGGACCCAGCAUAUAUGCUCCAGCAGACUUGAACAAGAACAUCACCAAAAUUUUUGGAAGGCUUAUCGAUAUAUAUAGGGCCCUGGGAGAUGACAGAAGAUCAUUUAGUUAUUACAAGGCCAUACCGGUGAUUGAGAAAUUGCCAUUCAAAAUCGAAAGUGCUGAUCAAGUUAAAGGUCUCCCUACUAUCGGGAAAUCUUUGAAAGACCAUAUAAAUGAAAUAGUCACCACUGGAAAACUUUCCAAGCUGGAACACUUUGAGAAUGAUGAAAAGGUACGAACGAUCAGUUUAUUCGGUGAAGUUUGGGGAGUUGGUCCUGCAACUGCGCUCAAGUUAUAUGAGAAGGGACACCGUACUCUUGAUGAUCUACAGAGAGAUGAGUCACUUACAAAUGCACAGAGGAUUGGAUUAAAGUUUUUUGAUGAUAUCAAGCAAAGAAUACCCCGACAUGACGUUAGCGAGAUGGAGAAACUUUUACAAGAUGUUGGGACUGAUAUCUUGCCUGGGGUAACAAUUGUUUGUGGAGGAUCAUAUAGACGCGGUAAAGCAUCUUGUGGUGACAUGGAUAUUAUUAUAACUCAUCCUGAUGGAGAAAGCCAUGUAGGAUUUUUAUCCAAGUUUGUUCAACGGCUGAAGGAAAUUAACUUUUUGAGGGAGGAUCUUAUCUUUAGCAUACACAGUGUUGAUGUAAGUUGUUAAACACCAUCAACUGGGGACUGAUAGCGGGGUUGACACAUACUUUGGUCUUUGCACAUACCCUGGGCGUGAGCUGCGGCACCGCAUCGACUUAAAGGUGUACCCGAGGAACAGAUAUGCAUGUGGUCUGCUUGCAUGGACUGGAAAUGAUGUACUAAAUCGGCGAUUUAGGCUACUAGCAGAAUCCAAAGGAUAUGUACUUGACGAUACUGGAUUAUACCUAGCUACACGCGGCAGUGGUGGAAAGCAUGCUGGCAGAUCAGACGCCAUAGUUAACUGUCACACCGAGAAGGAUGUGUUUGAGACGCUUGGAUUCCCUUGGCUGGAACCACAUGAGCGCAACCUUUAGGGCUUGUUUGGAAACUCAAACCCCUAGGGAUCCCAACCUUUACUAGGUAAGCAAUCCAUGGGGAUGUCAUUUGGAUAAGCCAUUUAGUUCUCCUUAUAGGACUUCUCAUUCCUAGGGUUGCCUCCCUCUUGCUUCCAAAUUAGGCCCUAGCUGUUUUUGAACGUUCAUCUAGAGAAUGUGUUUUGUACAGUUAGUUAUAUAUGUUACCUGUAUCUUUAACCUACCUCGACUUUCUGGGUACUAACAGCCUUUUGUACUGAUUGUUGUUCAUACUUCCCCUUUUUGUGCUGUCACUAGUAGGCAGUUUUUGUUCA